RNAcentral lists this long non-coding RNA (1860 nucleotides) under Volvox carteri. RNAcentral's name for it is "long non-coding RNA (VCAR_LNC002121)". Lineage: Eukaryota; Viridiplantae; Chlorophyta; Chlorophyceae; Chlamydomonadales; Volvocaceae. The record is from RNAcentral.
GCGCUCUUCAUACGUUUCCCAAGGGUUUUUAAACCGUGGACCGAAAGCUCCAGGAUUAUCAACGUGAUGCGCAGGAUACUUCGCGUCCAAGGAUUUCGCUCCGGGGCUCGACGGCCCAGUGCCUGUUGUUUUCUCAUCAGGUGCCAUAGAAUUUCCGUCGCAAACGCUGCUCAAGUAUUGAGGGAGCAGGCUUAUCUGAUAUUGUCCAGUAACGUUAUUGCCCCAUUCCAGUGUUGCAAAGUAAGGACAUCGCCUUAGCAAUUUGCAUUUGUGUUUGUAAACAAGUAAUUGCAUGCAAUCGAUUGUGGAGCCUAAAACUAGUGCUUAAACGCUGCAACGCUCUACUUGUCGGUUGUCGCUCCGCGCCGCGAUAUUGUGUGAAUGCAUUUUAUCAGCAGAUGGUCAGGAUCACAAGGAAAUUAGUCGGUGUUCCCUUGCUUUACUAAGCAUCUUUGUAAAGUGCAACAAGGACACCUACCAACGGAUCAGCGGUUGGCCAACUUCAGUGAGACACUAGAAUGCAGGUGGGUCCGCAAUCUGUGUGCACAGACAGCAUGGUAUGUCGGCAUCUGUAUGAUAUACAAUCCUCAUCUAUAGGAAAUAUAGUUGACUAUGGGUGCUCUUCGUAGGCUUCUCCAACGGUUGGACUUGUUGCGAUUGCAAACGUCUUCGGUUCUUACGCCGUUCACUUUUCACGUUUCUAACGUCGUUGGAUAAGGAUGUAUGUGAUGCAUAUCAUGUCACUCGAAUUUCUCAGAUACUUCACCACGCCCUCAGUUCCUACUCGAAUAUCCCACUCGACAGUCAGAGAAGGGUUUUGUGAGGGGCAAUCUAUAUGCAGGAGCUUAAGAAUGCUCCGUCGUUCGUAACUGAAAUUCAGUUGGGACUUAAAUGGGCCAGUUUACAGCCAAUAAUUACAAACAGGGAAGCGAAGCCCGCAGAGCAAUUGCCGAGACCCGAUUCCAUGUCGGAUCACCUCGUCGAGCUCAUGUGUACACAGCAUCCACGCAACACAAGCAACUUAGAUGUGCGAGUCCUAGGGCAGAGUGCAAACCUAGUGCGGAAUGCACUAAGUAGGCCCCACAACAACAUUCAAAUCGUUCCAUAAUCGGUAGAGAUAGUCCUAUAAUGCUAUGAAGGAAAGCCUAAUAAUGCUAUAACCAGAUCACCUGCUGGUAGCUAUCUAACUAAUGACCAGACGCGAGAGUGUCGUAGGGUCAGGUUAAUCACGUUGUCCACGUCUGACCGCGUCUACCGUUCAGACUGUUUGUCGUCUCCAAGGCAGCCAGCGUAAAAGCCUUGACACCGUCUCAUUUCGAGUCGCCAUUAAUCAAGUCAGCGGUGGCAAACCAGCUUUGCGCACCUCCAAGUGCAGGAGCUGCUUUGCAUGCACUUCAAGAGCGGAAUACUAAACCCUGCGGUAAAUCACUGCAACCUAUUCGUCACCCCACUGGAUUCUACACGCAAAAAGUCCAACCUGCUGUCCUCUGUCGGUUGUAAUCCCGGCAAAGCUCCUCGCUAUCACACGGAUAACACAUCAGGGCACACCAUCAAAGGAGUGGCCCGUGUUCAACGUAUCAGGCGUAGCAAGAGGCAGGAGCCGACUAUGAGAAGUACAGGCCCUGGAUGAGCUGCUGCAACUGCGCCGGAUCUGUAUAUGGUGCCUGGGUCGAAGGUGAUGCCAACUCUACCGCCUGCAAUUCUGAGCAGGCAUGCAGCAAGCCGCGAAAUUGUUCCUGCUGCUGAAAUUGGUGUUGUAGCUGCUGCUGGUAGACGAGUGGCAACGCAAGCCCCUCCAUGCCGAAUUUCUGUGCCGUGGCCAAGUAUGCAGCCUCCAAAUCAGUGUUGGGUCCGGGCAGC